Molecule: ribosomal RNA, 501 nt
Filed under: uncultured bacterium
Lineage: Bacteria
Description: partial 16S ribosomal RNA
Rfam family: Bacterial small subunit ribosomal RNA
Source: RNAcentral
GACGAACGCUGGCGGCGUGCCUAAUACAUGCAAGUCGAGCGGACCGGCUUGGGGCUUGCCUUGAUUCGGUCAGCGGCGGACGGGUGAGUAACACGUGGGCAGCCUGCCCGCAAGACCGGGAUAACUCCGGGAAACCGGAGCUAAUACCGGAUAACACCGAAGACCGCAUGGUCUUCGGUUGAAAGGCGGCCUUUGGGCUGUCACUUGCGGAUGGGCCCGCGGCGCAUUAGCUAGUUGGUGAGGUAACGGGUCACCAAGGCGACGAUGCGGAGCCGGCCUGGGGGGGCGGCCGGCCACACUGGGACUGAGACCCGGCCCAGACGCCCACGGGAGGCAGCAGGAGGGAAUCUUCCGCAAGGGGCGGAAGCCUGACGGAGCGACGCCGCGGGAGGGAAGAAGGCCGUCGGGUCGUAAAGCUCUGUUGUGAGGGACGAAGGAGCGUCGUUCGAAGAGGGCGGCGCGGUGACGGUACCUCACGAGAAAGCCCCGGCUAACUACGUG